AGUGAACGCUGGCGGUAGGCCUAACACAUGCAAGUCGAACGGCAGCACAGUAAGAGCUUGCUCUUACGGGUGGCGAGUGGCGGACGGGUGAGGAGUACAUCGGAAUCUACUUUUUCGUGGGGGAUAACGUAGGGAAACUUACGCUAAUACCGCAUACGACCUACGGGUGAAAGCAGGGGAUCUUCGGACCUUGCGCGAUUGAAUGAGCCGAUGUCGGAUUAGCUAGUUGGCGGGGUAAAGGCCCACCAAGGCGACGAUCCGUAGCUGGUCUGAGAGGAUGAUCAGACACACUGGAACUGAGACACGGUCCAGACUCCUACGGGAGGCAGCAGUGGGGAAUAUUGGACAAUGGGCGCAAGCCUGAUCCAGCCAUACCGCGUGGGUGAAGAAGGCCUUCGGGUUGUAAAGCCCUUUUGUUGGGAAAGAAAAGCAGCAGGUUAAUACCCCGCUGUUCUGACGGUACCCAAAGAAUAAGCACCGGCUAACUUCGUG
This 492-nucleotide ribosomal RNA is filed under the name uncultured bacterium. RNAcentral describes it as "partial 16S ribosomal RNA". It matches the Rfam family "Bacterial small subunit ribosomal RNA", at positions 29 to 507 of the family's 1533-position model. The record is from RNAcentral.